Molecule: ribosomal RNA, 460 nt
Filed under: uncultured bacterium
Lineage: Bacteria
Description: partial 16S ribosomal RNA
Rfam family: Bacterial small subunit ribosomal RNA
Source: RNAcentral
CCUACGGGAGGCAGCAGUCAGGAAUAUUGGUCAAUGGGCGCGAGCCUGAACCAGCCAAGUAGCGUGAAGGAUGACUGCCCUACGGGUUGUAAACUUCUUUUAUAAAGGAAUAAAGUGAGGCACGUGUGCCUUUUUGUAUGUACUUUAUGAAUAAGGAUCGGCUAACUCCGUGCCAUCAGCCGCGGUAAUACGGAGGAUCCGAGCGUUAUCCGGAUUUAUUGGGGUUAAAGGGAGCGUAGAUGGGUUGUUAAGUCAGUUGUGAAAGUUUGCGGCUCAACCGUAAAAUUGCAAUUGAUACUGGCAGUCUUGAGUACAGUUGAGGUAGGCGGAAUUCGUGGUGUAGCGGUGAAAUGCUUAGAUAUCACGAAGAACUCCGAUUGCGAAGGCAGCUUACUAAACUGCCACUGACAUUGAUGCUCGAAAGUGUGGGUAUCAAACAGGAUUAGAUACCCCAGUAGUC